AGUGAACGCUGGCGGUAGGCCUAACACAUGCAAGUCGAACGGCAGCACAGAGGAGCUUGCUCCUUGGGUGGCGAGUGGCGGACGGGUGAGGAAUACAUCGGAAUCUACUCUGUCGUGGGGGAUAACGUAGGGAAACUUACGCUAAUACCGCAUACGACCUACGGGUGAAAGCAGGGGACCUUCGGGCCUUGCGCGAUUGAAUGAGCCGAUGUCGGAUUAGCUAGUUGGCGGGGUAAAGGCCCGCCAAGGCGACGAUCCGUAGCUUGUCUGAGAGGAUGAUCAGCCACACUGGAACUGAGACACGGUCCAGACUCCUACGGGAGGCAGCAGGGGGGAAUAUUGGACAAUGGGCGCAAGCCUGAUCCAGCCAUACCGCGUGGGUGAAGAGGGCCUUCGGGUUGUAAAGCCCUUUUGUUGGGAAAGAAAUCCAGCUGGCUAAUACCCGGUUGGGAUGACGGUGCCCAAAGAAUAAGCACCGGCUAACUUCGUGCCAGCCGCCGCAGUAA
This 506-nucleotide ribosomal RNA is filed under the name uncultured bacterium. RNAcentral describes it as "partial 16S ribosomal RNA". It matches the Rfam family "Bacterial small subunit ribosomal RNA", at positions 29 to 523 of the family's 1533-position model. The record is from RNAcentral.